GAAAUGCGAUAAGUAAUGUGAAUUGCAGAAUUCAGUGAAUCAUCGAAUCUUUGAACGCACAUUGCGCCCGCCAGUAUUCUGGCGGGCAUGCCUGUUCGAGCGUCAUUACAACCCUCAGGCCCCCGGGCCUGGCGUUGGGGAUCGGCGGAAGCCCCCUGCGGGCACAACGCCGUCCCCCAAAUACAGUGGCGGUCCCGCCGCAGCUUCCAUUGCGUAGUAGCUAACACCUCGCAACUGGAGAGCGGCGCGGCCACGCCGUAAAACACCCAACUUCUGAAUGUUGACCUCGAAUCCGGUAGGAAUACCCGCUGAACUUAAGC
This 320-nucleotide unclassified non-coding RNA is filed under the name plant metagenome. Its description in RNAcentral is "partial contains 5.8S ribosomal RNA, internal transcribed spacer 2, and large subunit ribosomal RNA". The stretch from base 1 to 105 matches the Rfam family "5.8S ribosomal RNA", at positions 50 to 154 of the family's 154-position model. The record is from RNAcentral.